GAUGAACGCUGGCGGCGUGCUUAACACAUGCAAGUCGAACGAAGCACUCUAUUUGAUUUUUUUCGGAAAUGAAGAUUUUGUGACUGAGUGGCGGACGGGUGAGUAACGCGUGGGUAACCUGCCUCAUACAGGGGGAUAACAGUUGGAAACGACUGCUAAUACCGCAUAAGCGCACAGUACUGCAUGGUACAGUGUGAAAAACUCCGGUGGUAUGAGAUGGACCCGCGUCUGAUUAGCUAGUUGGUGGGGUAACGGCCUACCAAGGCGACGAUCAGUAGCCGACCUGAGAGGGUGACCGGCCACAUUGGGACUGAGACACGGCCCAAACUCCUACGGGAGGCAGCAGUGGGGAAUAUUGCACAAUGGGGGAAACCCUGAUGCAGCGACGCCGCGUGGACGAAGAAGUAUUUCGGUAUGUAAAGUUCUAUCAGCAGGGAAGAUAAUGACGGUACCUGACUAAGAAGCACCGGCUAAAUACGUGCCAGCCGCCGCAGUAA
RNAcentral lists this ribosomal RNA (497 nucleotides) under uncultured bacterium. RNAcentral describes it as "partial 16S ribosomal RNA". It matches the Rfam family "Bacterial small subunit ribosomal RNA", at positions 28 to 523 of the family's 1533-position model. The record is from RNAcentral.